AAAAACAAAAGUUAAGACACUAAUUUUAUCUUUUUUAAUUUGUUUUUUUAAAAAAAAUUUCAAAGAUUAAAUUUUAAUUUUUAAAAGUAUAGCCGCACGGCUAUAAAACGCCCAGGGCCCAGGUGCCACGUGUCAAAUGAGUAAAGCCGAGCGGCUAUACUAUUUUUGGCAAAAAAAGGAAGAUGAGUACAGCCGCGCGGCUGUACUAUUUCUGAAAAAAUUUCAAAAAGAAUCUGGUAUAGCCGGGCGGCUAUACUGUAUAUGCAUGCACACAGACCCGCCCAGUGUUUAUACACCACGCGUCAAGGAGUAGAGCCGGUUUUUGGUUUUAAAAAAGUAUAGCCGCGCGGCUAUACUAUUUUGAAAAUCAAUUCAGGGGAAAACUGGGUAUAGCCGAACGGCUAUACUAUUUUGUUUUUAGUGUAUAUCAUUUUUUUUUUAUUCAAUAAUAUGUGAGAAUUAUGUGUUCAAUGGUUAAUUAAUACAUAUUCAAUUAAUCAAAAGGUUGGCCUUGGGCCUUUGGGCUCUUGGGGUCGGUGAUUUAAAUUAAACCCGAUUAGUUAAUUAAUUAUUUUCAAAUAAUGUUUUGAAUUUCAUCCUUCUAUUUGUUGUUUAAAAUAUAAUUACUAAUGAAAGUAAUAAGAAAAGGCUAACAUACUACUUAAUUACAUAUAUUAAAUUAAAGAAGUGGGCCAAAAAACAAAAGUUAAGACACUAAUUUUAUCUUUUUUAAUUUGUUUUUUUAAAAAAAAUUUCAAAGAUUAAAUUUUAAUUUUUAAAAGUAUAGCCGCACGGCUAUACAACGCCCAGGGCCCAGGUGCCACGUGUCAAAUGAGUAAAGCCGAGCGGCUAUACUAUUUUUGGCAAAAAAAGGAAGAUGAGUACAGCCGCGCGGCUGUACUAUUUCUGAAAAAAUUUCAAAAAGAAUCUGGUAUAGCCGGGCGGCUAUACUGUAUAUGCAUGCACACAGACCCGCCCAGUGCUGAUGCGCCACGCGUCAAAGGAGUAGAGCCGGUUUUUGGUUUUAGAAAAGUAUAGCCGCGCGGCUAUACUAUUUUGAAAAUCAAUUCAGGGGAAAACUGGGUAUAGCCGAACGGCUAUACUAUUUUGUUUUUAGUGUAUAUCAUUUUUUUUUUAUUCAAUAAUAUGUGAGAAUUAUGUGUUCAAUGGUUAAUUAAUACAUAUUCAAUUAAUCAAAAGGUUGGCCUUGGGCCUUUGGGCUCUUGGGGUCGGUGAUUUAAAUUAAACCCGAUUAGUUAAUUAAUUAUUUUCAAAUAAUGUUUUGAAUUUCAUCCUUCUAUUUGUUGUUUAAAAUAUAAUUACUAAUGAAAGUAAUAAGAAAAGGCUAACAUACUACUUAAUUACAUAUAUUAAAUUAAAGAAGUGGGCCAAAAAACAAAAGUUAAGACACUAAUUUUAUCUUUUUUAAUUUGUUUUUUUAAAAAAAAUUUCAAAGAUUAAAUUUUAAUUUUUAAAAGUAUAGCCGCACGGCUAUACAACGCCCAGGGCCCAGGUGCCACGUGUCAAAUGAGUAAAGCCGAGCGGCUAUACUAUUUUUGGCAAAAAAAGGAAGAUAAGUACAGCCGCGCGGCUGUACUAUUUCUGAAAAAAUUUCAAAAAGAAUCUGGUAUAGCCGGGCGGCUAUACUGUAUAUGCAUGCACACAGACCCGCCCAGUGCUGAUGCGCCACGCGUCAAAGGAGUAGAGCCGGUUUUUGGUUUUAGAAAAGUAUAGCCGCGCGGCUAUACUAUUUUGAAAAUCAAUUCAGGGGAAAACUGGGUAUAGCCGAACGGCUAUACUAUUUUGUUUUUAGUGUAUAUCAUUUUUUUUUUAUUCAAUAAUAUGUGAGAAUUAUGUGUUCAAUGGUUAAUUAAUACAUAUUCAAUUAAUCAAAAGGUUGGCCUUGGGCCUUUGGGCUCUUGGGGUCGGUGAUUUAAAUUAAAC
This 1944-nucleotide long non-coding RNA is filed under the name Prunus persica (peach). RNAcentral describes it as "long non-coding RNA (PPER_LNC002993)". Lineage: Eukaryota; Viridiplantae; Streptophyta; Magnoliopsida; Rosales; Rosaceae. The record is from RNAcentral.